UGACUAAAGGCUAUCUAGGUGGUCCCCACACAUGUGGACAAAGCCCUCCAAGUACUUCUUGUUCCAAGUCUCUUUCCCGUAGCUUUCUUUUAAGAGCCCAAAUGACUAGAUGCUUUCCACUAGCUUGUGGUCCCCCACCAAUUCAAGGGCCCAAGAAUUGAAGCCCUUAGAAGUCUCCCUAUUCCCAUAAAAGUCCCUCCUUUUUGGUAAUUUUCUGCUUUGUUCCUGAAAUUAAACUCCAAUACCAAAUAUAAGUAAAUAUUAAUAAUUAAAACAAUAUUUGGCAAGAAUAAAAGGGGAAAUUAAUAAUAAAAUUACUAACAAUUAACACCCUA
RNAcentral lists this long non-coding RNA (335 nucleotides) under Coffea arabica (coffee). RNAcentral describes it as "long non-coding RNA (CARA_LNC008365)". The record is from RNAcentral. Lineage: Eukaryota; Viridiplantae; Streptophyta; Magnoliopsida; Gentianales; Rubiaceae.